Vidua chalybeata is the source of this 943-nucleotide long non-coding RNA. RefSeq lists it as uncharacterized. The record is from RefSeq and is a predicted model, not a curated record. The transcript has 3 exons. Lineage: Eukaryota; Metazoa; Chordata; Aves; Passeriformes; Viduidae.
GUCAGAGAGUGCAGACUCCCCCCCUGCCCAGCCUUAGGCUGGGUGGGGGAGGGGAAGCCACGCGGCCUUGUCCAGGAGAACCAGAGGAAGUCGACUAAGUCUGAAAGUCUGUAUUUUUGGCCAGUCCAAAUUUGAAGGGGAAAUUUCACCAGAAGAAUGUGCAGCAGUGACAUUUAAAAUCAUCAAAAAUUGAAGGCAAAUCCUGAGGAUUGUCAGCAAUAUCUAAUGGACACUGCUCCCAGUGCCUGCCCAGCACAAUAAUCUUGGCAUUUCUUCCUGUGCCAUUUUUUGGCUCUCCUGUGUCAGCCUGCUUCUGAGUUUGAAAUCAGAGAAAUGUAACCUUGUACACGUGGUGAAGACUUGUUCCAGCUCCUGGUGACACUCCAAACCAUUUGCCCACAUGCUUUCCUACAGCUCUGAUGAUCUGCACUACAGAGAUUCACAGGACAGUGUCACCUUUUCCUCUGUCACUGAUGAGAGCUGAUUUGAGCUGCGUUAUCUCUACCUGUGGCCUUUAAUUCUUGCUCUGACUCUUGUAUGAGAGGAAAGAAAAAGUCACUAGCGUGAAAUCAAUCAAGAAGAUUGAAAAUUGGGAGGUUUUUUAUUCAUAAAGUUCAUGGAUUUGCUGCUGUAGGAUCUUGAGGAAAUCAGAGCAAGCUGAUGCUGCUCUUGUAUCCAUCAAGAGUGAAAAAUCACCUCAAACAUCAGAGAGGGGCAGAUGUGGCUUGGGCAGUGUUGGCUCCUCACUGGCUUUUGACUGUCUCACACCAGGGCAGACCUUUCCCUAGUUUAAUUUUACAGGUGUGGGUAGGAAAUAUUUCCACUUUCUUUGUUUAAAACCUGCUGCCUUGUGGUUUCACUCAAUAAAUUGCAGGAAAAAAAAUGGCUGGGCAAGGUAGAGUUUUGUGGAAACCCACUUUUCCCACUGACAUGGAGUUAUCCA